Molecule: transfer RNA, 59 nt
Filed under: Pterygodium acutifolium x Pterygodium catholicum
Lineage: Eukaryota; Viridiplantae; Streptophyta; Magnoliopsida; Asparagales; Orchidaceae
Description: partial tRNA-Phe
Rfam family: tRNA
About the family: Transfer RNA (tRNA) molecules are approximately 80 nucleotides in length.
Source: RNAcentral
UCGGGAUAGCUCAGUUGGUAGAGCAGAGGACUGAAAAUCCUCGUGUACCAGUUCAAAUA